This 113-nucleotide small RNA is filed under the name Arabidopsis thaliana (thale cress). RNAcentral describes it as "ATSL293690". The record is from RNAcentral. Lineage: Eukaryota; Viridiplantae; Streptophyta; Magnoliopsida; Brassicales; Brassicaceae.
UUUACUCUUUAAAAUUUUAUUUCUAAUGGCAUACCUAUGUAAUUACUUACAAAAAUUAAAGUUAUAUUUAAAAUGUACUUCCCAAAUAAUAUAGUUGGAUCAUAUGAAGUAUA